RNAcentral lists this long non-coding RNA (270 nucleotides) under Helianthus annuus (common sunflower). RNAcentral describes it as "hypothetical non coding rna". Lineage: Eukaryota; Viridiplantae; Streptophyta; Magnoliopsida; Asterales; Asteraceae. The record is from RNAcentral.
GUUUUGAUUUAAGAGAUAGAUCGAGGGUCUCAGUUCUAAAACAAACAACAAUGGCGAGGUGGUCUGGAUCGAGGUCUCAGAUGCUUGCUUUUGCUAACUGCAAUUGCAUUUAUCUACACACAGGUGAGGCUGUUCAAGGCACAGUAUAAGUAUGCUGAGAAGAUUACAGCUGUUGUCAGUUCAUCAUAUCCUAGUCUUUCUACUUUAAAGUGUUACUUAUGUGCUUCAACUUAAUAUUAAAUAUCAGUUUAUAAUGUUGCUUUUUUUAGU